AAACUGCCUGAUGGAGGGGGAUAACUACUGGAAACGGUAGCUAAUACCGCAUAACGUCGCAAGACCAAAGAGGGGGACCUUCGGGCCUCUUGCCAUCAGAUGUGCCCAGAUGGGAUUAGCUAGUAGGUGGGGUAACGGCUCACCUAGGCGACGAUCCCUAGCUGGUCUGAGAGGAUGACCAGCCACACUGGAACUGAGACACGGUCCAGACUCCUACGGGAGGCAGCAGUGGGGAAUAUUGCACAAUGGGCGCAAGCCUGAUGCAGCCAUGCCGCGUGUAUGAAGAAGGCCUUCGGGUUGUAAAGUACUUUCAGCGGGGAGGAAGGUGUUGUGGUUAAUAACCGCAGCAAUUGACGUUACCCGCAGAAGAAGCACCGGCUAACUCCGUGCCAGCAGCCGCGGUAAUACGGAGGGUGCAAGCGUUAAUCGGAAUUACUGGGCGUAAAGCGCACGCAGGCGGUCUGUCAAGUCGGAUGUGAAAUCCCCGGGCUCAACCUGGGAACUGCAUUCGAAACUGGCAGGCUAGAGUCUUGUAGAGGGGGGUAGAAUUCCAGGUGUAGCGGUGAAAUGCGUAGAGAUCUGGAGGAAUACCGGUGGCGAAGGCGGCCCCCUGGACAAAGACUGACGCUCAGGUGCGAAAGCGUGGGGAGCAAACAGGAUUAGAUACCCUG
This 671-nucleotide ribosomal RNA is filed under the name Enterobacter sp. GA05. Its description in RNAcentral is "bacterial SSU rRNA". It matches the Rfam family "Bacterial small subunit ribosomal RNA", at positions 123 to 789 of the family's 1533-position model. The record is from RNAcentral. Lineage: Bacteria; Pseudomonadati; Pseudomonadota; Gammaproteobacteria; Enterobacterales; Enterobacteriaceae.